GGGGCACUAGCUCAAUUGGCAGAGCGCGGGACUCCAAAUUCCGCGGUUGGGGGUUCGACUCCUCCGUGCCCCG
Molecule: transfer RNA, 73 nt
Filed under: Hydrogenobaculum sp. Y04AAS1
Lineage: Bacteria; Pseudomonadati; Aquificota; Aquificia; Aquificales; Aquificaceae
Also listed under: 5 other names
Description: tRNA-Trp (CCA) (tRNA-Trp-CCA-1-1)
Rfam family: tRNA
About the family: Transfer RNA (tRNA) molecules are approximately 80 nucleotides in length. Their secondary structure includes four short double-helical elements and three loops (D, anti-codon, and T loops).
Source: RNAcentral